RNAcentral lists this ribosomal RNA (74 nucleotides) under Eutreptiella gymnastica. Its description in RNAcentral is "partial Eukaryotic large subunit ribosomal RNA". Lineage: Eukaryota; Euglenozoa; Euglenophyceae; Eutreptiales; Eutreptiaceae. The record is from RNAcentral.
UUGAGGACUGGAGUGGAGCAGGUUUCCGUGCCAACAGUCGUUGAACGCGGGUCAGUCGAUUGCGAGCCAAGUGG